AUUGAACGCUAGCGGGAUGCUUUACACAUGCAAGUCGAACGGCAGCGCGGACUUCGGUCUGGCGGCGAGUGGCGAACGGGUGAGUAAUGUAUCGGAACGUGCCCAGUAGCGGGGGAUAACUACGCGAAAGCGUAGCUAAUACCGCAUACGCCCUACGGGGGAAAGCAGGGGAUCGUAAGACCUUGCACUAUUGGAGCGGCCGCUAUCGGAUUAGCUAGUUGGUGAGGUAACGGCUCACCAAGGCGACGAUCCGUAGCUGGUUUGAGAGGACGACCAGCCACACUGGGACUGGGACACGGCCCAGACUCCUACGGGUAGCAGCAGUGGGGAAUUUUGGACAAUGGGGGCAACCCUGAUCCAGCCAUCCCGCUUGUGCGAUGAAGGCCUUCGGGUUGUAAAGCACUUUUGGCAGGAAAGAAGCGUCGCGGGCUAAUACCCCGUGGAACUGACGGUACCUGCAGAAUAAGCACCGGCUAACUACGUG
RNAcentral lists this ribosomal RNA (484 nucleotides) under uncultured bacterium. Its description in RNAcentral is "partial 16S ribosomal RNA". It matches the Rfam family "Bacterial small subunit ribosomal RNA", at positions 30 to 507 of the family's 1533-position model. The record is from RNAcentral.